This 387-nucleotide ribosomal RNA is filed under the name Hydrozoa sp. Its description in RNAcentral is "partial small subunit ribosomal RNA". It matches the Rfam family "Eukaryotic small subunit ribosomal RNA", at positions 582 to 975 of the family's 1831-position model. The record is from RNAcentral. Lineage: Eukaryota; Metazoa; Cnidaria; Hydrozoa.
AUUCCAGCUCCAAUAGCGUAUAUUAAAGUUGUUGCAGUUAAAAAGCUCGUAGUUGGAUUUCGGGACGGGCCAGUCGGUCCACCGCAAGGUGUGUCACUGACUGGUCUGUUCUUCUUCGCAAAGACUGCAUGUGCACUUCACUGUGUGGGUGUAGGAUUUACGACGUUUACUUUGAAAAAAUUAGAGUGUUCAAAGCAGGCUAUCGCUUGAAUACAUGAGCAUGGAAUAAUGGAAUAGGACUUUGGUUCUAUUUUGUUGGUUUCUAGGACCGAAGUAAUGAUUAAGAGGGACAAUUGGGGGCAUCCGUAUUUCGUUGUCAGAGGUGAAAUUCUUGGAUUUACGAAAGACGAACAACUGCGAAAGCACUUGCCAAGAGUGUUUUCAUUA